GUCCUACGGGGGGCAGCAGUGAGGAAUAUUGGUCAAUGGCCGCAGGGCUGAACCAGCCAAGUCGCGUGAGGGAUGACGGUCCUAUGGAUUGUAAACCUCUUUUGUCAGGGAGCAAAGGGCGCCACGUGUGGCGUUUUGCGAGUACCCGAAGAAUAAGCUCCGGCUAACUACGUGCCAGCAGCCGCGGUAAUACGUAGGGAGCAAGCGUUAUCCGGAUUUACUGGGUGUAAAGGGCGUGUAGGCGGGCAUGCAAGCCAGAAGUGAAAUCUGGGGGCUUAACCCCCAAACUGCUUUUGGAACUGCGU
Molecule: ribosomal RNA, 305 nt
Filed under: uncultured bacterium
Lineage: Bacteria
Description: bacterial SSU rRNA
Rfam family: Bacterial small subunit ribosomal RNA
Source: RNAcentral